This 253-nucleotide ribosomal RNA is filed under the name uncultured bacterium. Its description in RNAcentral is "partial 16S ribosomal RNA". It matches the Rfam family "Bacterial small subunit ribosomal RNA", at positions 524 to 776 of the family's 1533-position model. The record is from RNAcentral.
UACGUAGGGCGCAAGCGUUGUCCGGAAUUAUUGGGCGUAAAGAGCUCGUAGGCGGUUUGUCGCGUCUGCUGUGAAAACCUAAGGCUCAACCUCGGGCCUGCAGUGGGUACGGGCAGACUAGAGUGCGGUAGGGGAGAUUGGAAUUCCUGGUGUAGCGGUGGAAUGCGCAGAUAUCAGGAGGAACACCAAUGGCGAAGGCAGAUCUCUGGGCCGUAACUGACGCUGAGGAGCGAAAGCAUGGGGAGCGAACAGG